Molecule: long non-coding RNA, 669 nt
Filed under: Mytilus galloprovincialis (Mediterranean mussel)
Lineage: Eukaryota; Metazoa; Mollusca; Bivalvia; Mytilida; Mytilidae
Source: RNAcentral
UUUUACGACAUACUAGAAGACACCCGCGAAAUCGCGGGCAUAUACAGCUUGUGAACUGUUGUAGGAUGAUUUUUUGUAAAAGAUAUUAUGUAUGGAGAAUAACAUAAAAGGUAUCAAAAGCCCUCUCCCUUUGCCAAAGUCCGAUAUUUGUUUCCUUUCUGUGAAAUUCAAUUAUAUUCGUGUUUCUGGCCUACGACCACAAUUAUUCUUUUCCUUUGCUACACUGCUUCUUUUGGUAAAAGUCAAAUCAAAUUAAAAAUUUGCACCGUUUCAAACAUGAAAUAAAUGUAACUGCUUAUAUAUAGACCAUUAUUAGUCUAAAAAAAUAUGCUUCUAUGACAAUCCAUCAGUGAUUUUUUUUUUUGAGAGCCUUAUUAACAUGCCAAUGGUAGGAUUUGAAUCAUGUAUAUACAUAAAUAACUAAUACCGACUAAGGCUAAUUUGAGGGGUUGUCGGAGGGGUCCUGAUCCCGAUAUCCCGAGAUGCAGAAUUUAAAGAAAUUCAUAUCCCGAAAUUGAAAAAUAUAUUCUCGGAUCCCGUAAGGAUCAAUCCCAAAUCCCGCUUAAAAACACCCGAUCCCGACACCCCGAAAAAGGUCCUGCCUCUUUUAAUCUUUACCUAACUUUCAUUUUUGCCAAAUCACUAUUUUCCCUUUUAACAAUAAAUUUU